Grus americana (Whooping crane) is the source of this 6324-nucleotide RNA transcript. It is a transcript of the gene named UDP-GlcNAc:betaGal beta-1,3-N-acetylglucosaminyltransferase 5, with no coding region annotated. Lineage: Eukaryota; Metazoa; Chordata; Aves; Gruiformes; Gruidae. The transcript has 4 exons. The record is from RefSeq and is a predicted model, not a curated record.
CAGGUUGUCCAGGGAGGUUGUGGAUGCCCCAUCCCUGGAAGUGUUCAAGGCCAGGUUGGAUGGGGCUUUGGGCAACCUGGUCUAGUGGAGGGUGUCCCUGCCCAUGGCAGGGGGCUGGGAACUAGAUGAUCUUUGAGGUCCCUUACAACCCAAACCAUUCUAUGAUUCUAUGUGUUCUUUGAACCCUGCAGCUCCUUUCUAAACAGACUGUGAAAGCUUCAAGAAAAUCCAACCCACUUUUUUUGGUAUUGUCUUAUUACACUAGCUUACAAAUCUGUCUGAAUUUAUAUCUAGGCAGUGCUAAUCUUCAUCCCUGCAGCUGUAAUUGCAGUGUGUCUGCUUCCGUCGCCUCUGGCUGGCCAUGUUCCUUUGGUGCUGUAAAAAUGGUGUUGCAGCUGAGGUCCAUGUGACAUCUGAAGUUUUCCAGCAGGAUGGAGCAUUUCUGCAAUGUGCCUUCUAACCUGGACAUCCCACUCCACUAUCAAACAAGCUGAUCUGGAAUAGCUCAUGUGACAGGACUAUCCUGACUUUAGACCAAAAGCCUGUCCUAGGGCUUCAAGUUUUCAGAGCCAAGUGGUAGCCUUAGAAUUGGAAAGACUGAAAGAUUUAGAAACAGUAUGUUACAUCCGGUUCUACAAAGGAAGCACCUGAGUCUCCUUGUGCACUUGGGUUAGGCUCUGGAUACAACUUGACCUUACCUAGACGCUUACUGAAACACUGAAGGCAGUAUCAGAAGGUUGCUUUUUGAGGGGAAGAGGUUGGGAGGAACUGAAUUUGGCCUGUUGAGCAACUAUAUAAGCUCCAGAGCUGUUGCAAGCUGUGGAAGGUCCAUGUGGUGAGGAUGAGAGGGCAGGGUCAAGGGAAGAGUGGAUAUAAGGCUGUAUUCAACUGGCAGCAGUAAGCUCUUGGUUGAGCUCAACCAUCACAUGGAACUGCACCCUUAAACUAAGUGACUUUUCAGCACAGCCAAGGACAAGACAUGGACAUAGAGAUCAGCAGCUCUUCAGAUUACUUCUGUUUGAAACUAGGUAUUCAUCUUCAUGAAGGAAAGAAACACGUGAGAAGAUCCAGUUAGAACUAUAGUGUUCACUUCAAAAUGCCCCAAAGGGAAAAUACUCAUCUGCGUGUCUCGUCUUUCAAAACUGUCUGCAUUCUUUCAAUCAAAGAAAAAUCUUUUUUGAGAAAGAUGACUUGUGAAAUCUGUGAACAAAGCUGGCUUUACAAGGAUACUGAAUGAAAGAAAACAUGCCUUACAAUGGACACUUAUCUUGAAAGGGUGACAGUGUGCUCUUGAACUAAAACACAGGCACUGUCAAAACACAGAUCCUGAACAAUAAUAAGGAUUAUAAACUGCAUCAGAAUGUUUGUUAGUCCCAGAAGAGUCAGAAAAUGCCAUUUUUUGCAGAUAUUUGCCACUUGCUUCAUACUGUGUCUCAUGAUUUUUUGGGGACCGUUUGAUAAUCACAUUGUGAGCCAUAUGAAGUCCUAUUCAUACAGAUACCUCAUAAAUAGCUACCAUUUUGUGAAUGACAGCCUGUCUAUCAACAGGGAUAACUUGGACAGAGUAUCAAGCUAUCAAUACUUGAUCAACCACAGAGAAAAAUGUUGGCAGCAGGAUGUUCUUCUCCUGUUGUUCGUGAAGACUUCUCCUGAAAACCGUCAUCGGAGGGAUGCAAUUAGACAAACUUGGGGUAACGAGAAGUAUGUUCAUUCUCACCUUAAUGCCAACAUUAAAACUCUCUUUGCUUUAGGACAACCAACAGAUCAUCUGCAGCAAUCACAGCUGCAAAGAGAACUUCAGCUGGAAGACCAGAAAUACAAUGAUUUGAUUCAGCAAGACUUCUUGGAUACUUUUCACAAUCUUACUCUUAAAUUACUUUUGCAGUUUAGCUGGGUGAAUGCCUACUGUCCUCAUGCCAGGUUCAUUAUGUCUGCAGAUGAUGAUAUAUUUAUCCAUAUGCCAAAUCUUGUUGCUUAUCUCCAAAGUCUAGCACAAAUGGGUGUUCAAGAUCUCUGGAUUGGUCGUGUCCAUCGCGGGUCCCCUCCCGUAAGAGACAAGAGUAGCAAAUACUAUGUUCCGUAUGAAAUGUACCAGUGGCCCUCUUAUCCUGACUACACAGCAGGAGCUGCAUAUGUAAUAUCAAACGAUGUAGCAGCUAAAGUCUAUGAGGCUUCAUUGACUCUCAAUACAAGUCUUUAUAUAGAUGAUGUUUUCAUGGGUCUCUGUGCCAAUAAAAUGGGAAUUGUACCACACUAUCAUGUAUUUUUUUCUGGGGAAGGAAAGGCUCCAUAUCAUCCCUGCAUUUAUAACAAAAUGAUGACAUCUCAUGGACAUGUAGAUGAUCUUCACCAGCUCUGGAAGCAGGCUACAGAUCCCAAAGUUAAAAAGUAUUCUUUGGGGAUUUGGGGUAGAAUAUACUGCAGACUAGUCAAUAUUGUGCUUCUCUGUAAAUUAUACUAUGAGGACACAUAUCCUUGUUCAGCUGCAUUUUCUUAAUACUUGAAUAUAUCUGCGUUGAAGAUCCACUGAGCCAAAACAGAGCAACAACUUUUUAGCUGUUUAUUCAAAAUACAUGUAAACAUGGAAAGAGACUUUCAGGACUGAUAUUUUAGCUGCCAAUUGCCAAACCUGUGGUAGCUCUUCCUGGAGUGGACACACAGCCCACACAAGGUACAGUCAGAUAGUGCUUGUGAACUGAUUUGAUGCUGGAACAAUUUCUGGUGGAGAUGGUGUCAGAAAACUACUUCUGAAAAACUUGAUUCAUUCAAGUUAUCAGCUGAGCAAUAACAAUACUUACAAAUUAUCAAGCAUCUGUUGGUGAUGUGCUAAUUACAGGAGUAAGACUACUUGCUUUCUGUCUCAAGACUAGCUUUUUCCUUCUGUGUGGAACAAGGAGGUACUUCAUUUGUGUCUUCUGACUUUACUGUAGAACAGCUAUACAGGACUUGGAAGUUUUAAGCUGCAAGUAGUAAACUUUGUUUACUUGCUACUGCUCUUGGAGCUGUGCUGCAGGUUUUCAUGGUUUGAAUGGCUAAUGGUAUAUGUCAGUGUAGAUAGAAUCCAGGAGUGAGCUUGCUGACUGUUCUCUAAGCUGCCAUUUCAGAUGGAUGGCAGGUAGCUACUGGAAUUAAGUGAAAUAUGUAACUUUCUAUAAUUGGUUUUCCAGAAUGAAAAGAAUAAGAAUCGUAACUGGACCCAAAUGUUGGGUGUAUAAAGAGCCCACAAAUAAAUCACUUAUCAGUGUCUGAAUAAUUGAAGAAGAAUGUAACAGCUAUACUUCAGAAAACCCUGUUGCUGUUCUUGCCUAAACAGAUUGGUUACAGUACUAAGCAUGUGUGUUUUAAAAGAAAAAAACCAAAACAUGAGACAACUCUAGAUCUAUAUAACCUGUUGGCUUAUAGAGAAAUAAAUGCAUGUAUAGAGAAAGUAGCAUUCUGUACUGAAGGAAAGCUGCUUCAUCACAUCUCUGACCUCUUGUGAGCCAUUUAAAUCAACAAACUGCACAGCAAAACUGCACUUCUAGAACAAGCCGCCCUGUUCACUGUAGGGGAAGAGGGUCUUCAUAUGCAGUAUGCAACCAGAAUGUACUAUUAAGAUGACAAUUUUCCCAGUGUAACUGUUGGGAUUUAUUUUUUUUUACUCAUACAAGCAAAGAUAAAGUAAGUUUUAAGUAGCUUAAACUUCUGUAGGGUAAUGACCUAGCUAACAUCUAAAACACCGCUUAAAUGUAGUUUGCCAUUAUCUGAAAGUCACUUUUGACCAUUGAAAUUGUUUUACAGCUGGCUUGAGUUUUUUUGGAUUGUUUCUUAAAAGGGCCUUGAUGGUUGUAGUAUGCAUUUUCUUUUGCUGCAGUGAAAAGAAGUUGCUUGUUGAAUAAAAAGGAAAGCAUGAAAGCACUCCAUUCAAAAAAUGGAGAAGCUAGAAAGCUUCUUAUUUUCUGUUUCUAAACACUGACUUAAGAUUUGUACACCUUUACCUGGAACCUUUUUUAACAAUAGUCUUGGUGCUCCAAUGCAGGGCUGUCAGCUUUUACUUCUGCAAAUAAAACUGUAUCAGCCUGAAUGGUCACUCCUGAAUAAGAGUUCGACAUUGUUGCACAGCAUAUUUAAUGCUAAAAUUAUUUUUACCUGUUUGUUUGGUUUGCAUCAGUUUCCCUUUGGUAUUACUAAUUUUUAUACAAAGUAUUCAAUAUUUAUUCUUAAACUUUGCUCUGUACCACAAAAAGACAAUUGUUUUGUAAAAAUUGUUUUGAAUAAACAGACUUAUUUCUUUUAAAAAAAAAAAAAACCACAACAAAAGUGGUAAAUACUCUUGUUGCUUUCUUUGUGACUGACAGGCUCAGCUCUGAUGCUUUUAAAUGCUGUUCUGAGUGCCAGGCUGCCUCCCCCACUUCCCCUCCUUCCUUUCUAUUCUACCUUGAACCUUGUAGAACAACAGGCAAAAUCAGUGUUCCCAAGAAAGGGGACAGUUCAGAAAUUCGUUUACCAAGCUUCUAAGUCUACAGUUGUGUUAAACUGCCAAAUAUUAGAAGCUUAACUUGUUAAUAUUAACUCUUAUAUUCUCUUUAGGUGAUUAUUCCCCCAAGAGAUGUGUAUCUAAGCAAGUUCUAUUUCAGAUCACACUUUGCACCUUUUGAAAACUAGCUGAUGGUGAGAACAGCUGAUGGCCUACAAGUAUUAUCAUCUCCAUGAACCAGCUGGGAAACUCCCAGAGCUUAACAGACAUAAUGAAACCACAGAGGACAUCAGCUUCAAGGCCAGGACUGGAACUUCAGAUCCUCUGCCCAUGGCUUGCUGGGAAAUUCUGCUGUGUUUAAAAUUUUAAUUAAGGCUUUAUUUAAGUUGAAGACAUUCUGAAGGUACAAGAGCAAAGCCUUUUUACAUUUAUAUUUAUACAGCCAUUGUUCACUAAGCAGCAAUUUGUCUUCCUGACUUCUGAAAACAUGCAUCUCCAUCCCGUCUAUCUAUACCAGUCGCAUUCCAGUCACUCCCUCUCAUCUGUUCAGAUUAGUACACACAUACAAGAACAACUUACUGCAAGUACAGUUAAAAUGCAUAAAUUUGUUGGAGCACUGCUGUUUCCUUAUCACUUGGGUGCAUCAGCACAAAACUCGUCAGAAAUCUGUGGGUUUAGUAAAGGGGAAGUGAGGAAGGCUUAAAAACAAUGCUGCCUUUUCAAAGUAGGACUGUUCAGACUUGGGAGAUGUGAUGGAAGCCUUUGUAUCUAGUAGCAAGUAACCACAUGGUAUGUUUUUUUUCCAUGAUCAUGCCCCAGUUUCUUUAGGGACUAUGUUGUCCUGCAUAGCUCUCUAUUCUUUACACUUUUUGAUCUAAAGCACCCAAUGGUUUGAGUCAGUCAACAGCACUAGGGGUGGGCUUACACCCACUCAGACACCACAUAGUUGUUGCAUCUUGUAUUCUCUUCUCCAGCAGUGAUGGGAAUUCCUCAUUUGCAACCAUGACAGCUAAAAUUAUGCUGCGCGCUCUGUGAAAAACAAACUGGAGGUAGAUCAUCAUUCGAAAGGUGCAGAGAGAACUUACAUUCCAUAUACGUGACCUGAAACACACCCCAGAUGAGGCAAUGAUAGCAGGGUUCAUAGCUUUCUUCCCUUUUUUCUGAUAAAUUCAUGCCUGCUCUCAAGAUAAGCAGUACAGACCUACAUAUGCUCUCGCUUAGUGCUUAGCAGCUGUAGCCUGCUGUUCUCAGCACUGAAACUACUGGAUUAAAGUUGGCUGAAAUGUCCCACUUCUGACUGCACCACAGGUAGAGCUAUCCACCACCAAAAAGGUACCCUGUGGGCAAGAAAUCUCAUAGGCUCCAAGCCAUUCAAGAUAAGAAAGCAGAAACAAAGAACAAUGCAGUGAGACUGCUACAUCUCUACCAUUUAGCAACAGAUUAAAGUUGUUUCAGAAAAAAAAACCCAACUGACCACUGGCAGGGCAAGAUAUGAGAACACUAAGAGAAGUGGCAAAGGGGAAGACGACAGUAGCUCUGACUGGAAGUCAGGCAGUUUCAAGGUGCCAUGGAGGCUGACACUUCCCUGAUGACAACUUCUACAGCAGAGGUUCCUUCUGCACACCAUUGAGCUUAUCAGUGUUUCACUGAAUAGCAUGUUUGCCCCGACCCCUCCUGUGUGUAUGAGCAAUACAUUGUUUCAUAUACCCAAAUUAUGUCUGUGGGGUUUGGUUUUUUUUCCAAGUCUCUGCUUCAUAAGAGUUUUUCAAACAAAUUUAACUGAAAGAUCUUAAUUAUAGCCACACACACUUCAAAUCUUGACUCACUUCUAUUUGCAUAUUUUACCAAACUAUAUAUUCAUGCUUUAU